Molecule: unclassified non-coding RNA, 358 nt
Filed under: soil metagenome
Description: partial contains 5.8S ribosomal RNA, internal transcribed spacer 2, and large subunit ribosomal RNA
Rfam family: 5.8S ribosomal RNA (bases 1-120)
Source: RNAcentral
GAUGAAGAACGUAGCGAAAUGCGAUAAGUAAUGUGAAUUGCAGAAUUCAGUGAAUCAUCGAAUCUUUGAACGCACAUUGCGCCCGUCAGUAUUCUGGCGGGCAUGCCUGUUCGAGCGUCAUUACGCCCCUCAAGUCCCCUGUGGACUUGGUGUUGGGGAUCGGCGAGGCUGGUUUUCCAGCACAGCCGUCCCUUAAAUUAAUUGGCGGUCUCGCCGUGGCCCUCCUCUGCGCAGUAGUAAAACACUCGCAACAGGAGCCCGGCGCGGUCCACUGCCGUAAAACCCCCCAACUUUUUAUAGCUGACCUCGAAUCAGGUAGGACUACCCGCUGAACUUAAGCAUAUCAAUAAGCGGAGGA